Molecule: ribosomal RNA, 253 nt
Filed under: uncultured bacterium
Lineage: Bacteria
Description: partial 16S ribosomal RNA
Rfam family: Bacterial small subunit ribosomal RNA
Source: RNAcentral
UACAGAGACUGCAAGCGUUAUUCGGAUCCACUGGGCGUAAAGGGUGCGCAGGCGGCCGUGUGUGUGAGGCGUGAAAGCCCGGGGCUUAACCCCGGAAUUGCACCUCAAACUACAUGGCUAGAGCAUUGGAGAGGGUAGCAGAAUUCAUGGUGUAGCAGUGAAAUGCGUAGAUAUCAUGAGGAAUACCAGAGGCGAAGGCGGCUACCUGGACAAUUGCUGACGCUCAGGCACGAAAGCGUGGGGAGCAAAAGGG